UCGGGUGAGUAAUGCGUGACCAACCUGCCCCAUGCUCCAGAAUAGCUCUUGGAAACGGGUGGUAAUGCUGGAUGCUCCAACUUGACGCAUGUCUUGUUGGGAAAGUGUUUAGUGGCAUGGGAUGGGGUCGCGUCCUAUCAGCUUGUAGGCGGGGUAAUGGCCCACCUAGGCUUCGACGGGUAGCCGGCCUGAGAGGGCGGACGGCCACAUUGGGACUGAGAUACGGCCCAGACUCCUACGGGAGGCAGCAGCU
This 253-nucleotide ribosomal RNA is filed under the name uncultured Gardnerella sp. RNAcentral describes it as "partial 16S ribosomal RNA". It matches the Rfam family "Bacterial small subunit ribosomal RNA", at positions 100 to 355 of the family's 1533-position model. Lineage: Bacteria; Bacillati; Actinomycetota; Actinomycetes; Bifidobacteriales; Bifidobacteriaceae. The record is from RNAcentral.